GAUGAACGCUAGCUACAGGCUUAACACAUGCAAGUCGAGGGGCAGCAUGGUCUUAGCUUGCUAAGGCCGAUGGCGACCGGCGCACGGGUGAGUAACACGUAUCCAACCUGCCGUCUACUCUUGGACAGCCUUCUGAAAGGAAGAUUAAUACAAGAUGGCAUCAUGAGUCCGCACGUUCACAUGAUUAAAGGUAUUCCGGUAGACGAUGGGGAUGCGUUCCAUUAGAUAGUAGGCGGGGUAACGGCCCACCUAGUCUUCGAUGGAUAGGGGUUCUGAGAGGAAGGUCCCCCAUAUUGGAACUGAGACACGGUCCAAACUCCUACGGGAGGCAGCAGUGAGGAAUAUUGGUCAAUGGGCGCAGGCCUGAACCAGCCAAGUAGCGUGAAGGAUGGCUGCCCUAUGGGUUGUAAACUUCUUUUAUAAAGGAAUAAAGUCGGGUAUGUAUACCCGUUUGCAUGUACUUUAUGAAUAAGGAUCGGCUAACUCCGUG
This 490-nucleotide ribosomal RNA is filed under the name uncultured bacterium. RNAcentral describes it as "partial 16S ribosomal RNA". It matches the Rfam family "Bacterial small subunit ribosomal RNA", at positions 28 to 507 of the family's 1533-position model. The record is from RNAcentral.